This 2782-nucleotide ribosomal RNA is filed under the name Triticum aestivum (bread wheat). RNAcentral describes it as "partial small subunit ribosomal RNA". Lineage: Eukaryota; Viridiplantae; Streptophyta; Magnoliopsida; Poales; Poaceae. The record is from RNAcentral.
UACCGCAUGCGCCAGGGAGGGCCGCUGCUGCUGCUAGACUACUUGCAGGAGUCCGAGGGCGAGUCCGUUGAGGGACGGACCCACUUGUUCCUGCUGGAGAUGGCGCUGCAAGGGGUGCAGCAGCGGCCGCUGAGGAAGGUCCGGUGCCUGCCGCGACCUUCCGGCCGCAUGAUGCAGGAGUGCGGCGAGGCGCGGUACCCUUCGGCCUGCUCCGCGUGCCAGCCGCCGCCCAACACCUUCCACCUCUUCUGGUAGUGGGAGGAUGGAUGGCGGCUGCUCCGGUUCAGAAGGUGAAGGUUCGGCCGCGGUGUUCCUUCGACGUGGUUCGAGAGCAAGUAGAGGGCCGGUGGGCCGCCCGGCCUCCCCUCCUUGCCGACCGAUUACUUCGUCAUAGACGAGGGGGUGAGCGGUCCACGGGGGCGUCCGGGGCGGGAGACGUUUAACAUAAAGUUCUUCAGCCGCCACCGCCGAUGCCGCCGCAGCUGAUGCCGCCGCCGCCGCCGCCCCUUCCGCUGGCGCCGACGAGCAGGGUCGGCGGACGGGCGUAGGCGGAGAAGGGGCUUCCCGAAGAACUUCUUCGGCCGCCGCCUCCGCGGUAGAUGCCGCCACGGCGGCCGCUGCUUCCGCCGUUGUAGGGUCCUGCGCCCGCGAGCAGGGGACGCGGACGCGCACGGCUGGAGGUGGUGAAUGCGGUCGGCCGACGCGGACGGCCGGAGGUAGGGAAUGAGGUUCUAGAACUUCUUCGGCGGGCGGCUCCGCGGUAGAUGCCGCCGCUUCCGAGGUAGAGCGCGGUCGUCGAAGGCGGCCGGACGGAGGUGGGGGACGGGCUACUUCUUCGGGCGCCGCCUCCGCGGUGGACGUCGCCUCGUCCGCGGCCGUUUCCGCCGGCUCCGCGGUAGAUGCCGCCGCUUCCGAGGUAGAGUGCGGUCGUCGAAGGCGGGCGGACGGAGGUAGGGGACGGACUUCUUCGGGCGCCGGCUCCGCGGUAGAUGCCGCCGCUUCCGAGGUAGAGUGCGGUCGUCGAAGGCGGGCGGACGGAAGUAGGGGACGGACUUCUUCGGGCGCCGCCUCCGCGGUGGACGUCGCCGCGGCCGCGGCCGUUUCCGCCGGCGCCGGGGAACGCGGUCGGUCCUGAGGUGCGGAGGUGACGCGGCGGUCGAGAGGGGGCCGUGGUGUGGGCCGUCCUCCACCCACGACCACCUUUGGCUCCGCUGGUCGGGGGGAGGGGUCGGUUUGGUACUAGCGUAGGAGUUCGCUUAGAUGUUCGAGCGUCUCGACCUCCAUCAGCUACAGCUCCUUCCGCUUGAAAACCUCGUCCCCGUGAUAGAAUCUUUUUUUCCUUUUAAGAGAACGCUGUUCAGGAGCAAAUACGAGGAAUUCCUGCUGAUAACAUCGAAGUCCUCAUCCCUCGAAAGGACUUGAACCAUCGUGUCCUUCCUUUUGAACCAUCAUGUCCUCCCUCGAAAGGACUUGGUAGGAGAGAAGAUUCACCAUACCUAUUUCAACGGAAGAAGUAUUCGGUUUAUUACGUAUAAGAACUUACUGUCUGAGACAAGGAAACAAUCGUAAAGGAACCUAGUUUUAGUAUCAAUAGUAUAUAUGAAACCGAGCAUGUGUUAAAACACCCACCGUUGGAAACUCAUAAAGUAUGAUACGUGGUUAUACAAAGGGAGUUAUCUUGAAUUAACAUGGUUAGACGUUACCACAAAGGAACAUCUUCCAUUUACAUUCUUUAACUGACGUAAGGACAGACCAACGAAAGUUAUUUCCUACUUAAUACUUAUACUUAGAAGGUUUCAAACAAUUAAUUUAACUAAUAUCAAGGUUGGUUUUCGAAAAAAAUAGGAGUGAACGAUGAAACUGAGAGCCACGAAAGACUACACGGUAGUAAAUAAAUAAAGCUUCAGAACUAAAAAAAACUUACACUUCCAAGUUUUAUAAUUGACGAACUUUACUCCACCGGUAAAGUAGUUCUCUAAUCUUUAAGAUAAGUGUGACCGUUUUUAUACGAAUGACCUGUUGACAACAGAUUAAAGACACUGGAAUAAAUCAAAGUCAAACACAACAGACGCCGUGUCUGUGAGUAAAGUUUCCGUCCCGACGCAGUUGCUACGCGCAGUUAUUAAUCCGACUACCUUUAUCGUUUGAAACCCGCGCCAGAGGAGCUAGGACAUCGUAGAAGCGAGAAACCGGUAAUGAACACGAGGAAAGCGAUCAAGGAAGUAAAAAGUAUACGAUCAGAUGUUAAACAGUAACAGUGUCACAAACGUUAAAAAAAAGACGUCCAGUACGAGUUGAAAAAGUGGGAGAUUUGGACACAGGUCGAGUCACGGUUCCGCUUCCCUUCGGGGUUAGUGGUUCUACCGCCUCUUCGAAGACAUAACAGCAGAACCGUAGUGUCUUCUCCCACAAGGUUCCGGCAGACGGUAGGUAACGGUAGCUACGUAACGCGCGGGAGAAGGUUGAACUGACACUGGAGAGGUGUCGGUAGCUUCUACGAGGACAACGGGUACCUCACUAGACCUGGCGGUUUCUGUGUGUCUACCAACACCAAAGGCGACACCAGCUCAAGGGACUAGCAUCGAAUCAGAAAACACUCUACACACAACUCUACGACGAACGACAUGGUUGGUCGUCAGACGAAGAGCACUACAAGGGGAACGACAUGGUUGGUCGUCAAACAAAUGGGACAACCCGUUGACAUCCCCAACACUUUACAUCCAUUGCAGAGAUUUACUACUGAUACUACAAAUACUUACGACUGAUACUACAAAUAUACGAC